This 466-nucleotide ribosomal RNA is filed under the name uncultured bacterium. RNAcentral's name for it is "partial 16S ribosomal RNA". It matches the Rfam family "Bacterial small subunit ribosomal RNA", at positions 29 to 506 of the family's 1533-position model. The record is from RNAcentral.
AGUGAACGCUGGCGGUAGGCCUAACACAUGCAAGUCGAACGGCAGCACAGUAAGAGCUUGCUCUUACGGGUGGCGAGUGGCGGACGGGUGAGGAAUACAUCGGAAUCUACUUUUUCGUGGGGGAUAACGUAGGGAAACUUACGCUAAUACCGCAUACGACCUACGGGUGAAAGCAGGGGAUCUUCGGACCUUGCGCGAUUGAAUGAGCCGAUGUCGGAUUAGCUAGUUGGCGGGGUAAAGGCCCACCAAGGCGACGAUCCGUAGCUGGUCUGAGAGGAUGACCAGCCACAUUGGGACUGAGACACGGCCCAAACUCCUACGGGAGGCAGCAGUGGGGAAUCUUGCGCAAUGGGCGAAAGCCUGACGCAGCCAUGCCGCGUGAAUGAUGAAGGUCUUAGGAUUGUAAAAUUCUUUCACCGGGGACGAUAAUGACGGUACCCGGAGAAGAAGCCCCGGCUAACUUCGU